This 460-nucleotide ribosomal RNA is filed under the name uncultured bacterium. RNAcentral's name for it is "partial 16S ribosomal RNA". It matches the Rfam family "Bacterial small subunit ribosomal RNA", at positions 338 to 795 of the family's 1533-position model. The record is from RNAcentral.
CCUACGGGCGGCUGCAGUGAGGAAUAUUGGUCAAUGGGCGAGAGCCUGAACCAGCCAAGUCGCGUGCAGGAUGACGGCCCUACGGGUUGUAAACUUCUUUUGUCCGGGAGCAAUUGGGUCCACGCGUGGUCUUAGCUAGAGUACCCGUAGAUAAAGCAUGGGCUAACUCCUUGCCAGCAGCCGCGGUAAUACGGAGGACGGGAGCGUUUUCCGGAUUUAUUGGUUUUAAGGGGUGCGUAGCCGGAAUAUCAAGUUAGCGGUAAAAGUUCGGGCAUCAACCCCGUCGUGCCGUGGAAACUGAUGUGCUUGAGUGCGCGGAAGGCAGGCGGAAUUCGUGGUGGAGCGGUGAAAUGCUUAGAUAUCACGAAGAACUCCGAUUGCGAAGGCAGCUUACUAAACUGCCACUGACAUUGAUGCUCGAAAGUGUGGGUAUCAAACAGGAUUAGAUACCCUAGUAGUC